UUUUUUUUUUUUUUCCCACAACUGUCCCCUGGAACAAUGGCUUCUGCUUGGAUCUUGGUUGCGCUUGUCCAUGCUGUCUUCAUGGUCAAGGGUUAUUUUUUGGCUUCAUUUGUUCUGUAGCUGAGUUUUUGUAGCAGAGGGGUGAAACAAGGGGAGUCCACUGUUGUGCCAAAAAAAAAGAUGUGUCUCCUGGUGAUUUUUCAUUUGAGAGACUUGUUCAACUUCUUAAUUCUCUGGCUUCAAUGUUGACGCUACAUACGACAGGAAAAUUCUGUCACACUGGUUCUUAAACUUUAACGUCCUGCUUGAAGGCACCAGUUGGAAUUUCUUGAACUAGAAAACUUCAAUGACUUCUUCCCACCAGACUUAUCAUGAACAGUCCAACCUGCAACUAAAGAUCUACUUCAAGACAAAGCGGGCCAACUAAAGAAUGACCAGCAGGGCUACAACAUGACCGGCAAGGGCAAACAACUGCACGACGCCCAGCAGGGCUAAAACGUGAGCGGCAACCAGCACAGUGAAUCCCUUAAAGUCCCAAGUGUCACCCUGGAUGAUGUCUCUGCAGAUCAGAGUUUCAUUGUGAAUGUUUGAUUUGCACAGCAUUAAAGUGAUUUUAUGUAA
Long non-coding RNA from Syngnathoides biaculeatus (alligator pipefish), 621 nucleotides. RefSeq lists it as uncharacterized. The record is from RefSeq and is a predicted model, not a curated record. NCBI's taxonomy places the organism in Eukaryota, Metazoa, Chordata, Actinopteri, Syngnathiformes, Syngnathidae. The transcript has 5 exons.